GUUUCCAAGACCUGUAGGUAUUAAGAAACCGUAUAAUUUGCAAAUGUGAAACAGAAAGAGACAUGCAUCAAGAAAAGAAAAAAAACUUUAAAAGAAUGCUGCAUACAUUAUAUACACAACCAACAGCAUUUAUAUAAUGGUUGGUUACUUGUAUGUGGCAACUAGGAAAGGAUAAAAUGUGCUUUUGUUCUUAUAACAACCUUGUUUUUGCGGUAAAUUUACCAGCUAGUAUUUGGCCUCUAUUAAACACUGUUCGGCUCUUGAAUAUAGAUCUAGCCUGUCUUUUCAUUAUAGAUCAGGGGACAAUGUCAUUGAGAACAACCAAACAUUUUGGUUUUUAUUUUUUACUUUUUUAUUUUCUUUGAGUGCAUGAACAUUAUUGUGGAAGUGAGUGCAUUAUGGGUGUCUGGUCAUUCUAAGUUGCUUCACUGGAGUAAUUAGAAUAAAAAUUAUACGUGUGCCAUAUCAGCACCAAGGAUGCACGCUUGUCAUUUUUAGUGAUUACAUGGGACACAUGCUAUGUUAUCAUACAUAUGUGUGUGUGUGUCUGUCUCUGUGCGUGUGUAUGUGUGUGUGUG
RNAcentral lists this unclassified non-coding RNA (578 nucleotides) under Hevea brasiliensis (rubber tree). Lineage: Eukaryota; Viridiplantae; Streptophyta; Magnoliopsida; Malpighiales; Euphorbiaceae. The record is from RNAcentral.